Molecule: long non-coding RNA, 1059 nt
Filed under: Oncorhynchus kisutch (coho salmon)
Lineage: Eukaryota; Metazoa; Chordata; Actinopteri; Salmoniformes; Salmonidae
Description: lncRNA (ENSOKIG00005000621.1)
Source: RNAcentral
AUGUUCCUGAAUGCUACCCAGCCUCCCGUUCACCCCCUGUCCUGCUCCUCAACCCCAAACCCCCUUCUGUCUCUCGUUGCCCUUCCCCCCCCCCCACCCGCCUGCUCCCCAGACGAGGGCUACCCCUCCGCCCCCGCCUCCCCCUCCUCAUCCGACUACCUGGGGGUCAAAGGUCAGACAGGCUUAGGGUCAGAGGUCACCAAACUAGGCCUCCUGGACUUCCUGGAGUCAGUGGGAGACUUUGGAAAGAUGGAGCGCUUUAGCCAGGUGAUUCAGGUGGCUCGCUGGGACCUGGAGGGGGAUCCUCAGGGGGAUCUACUGAGGGAUCGACUGGAUCACCUGGACCGACUGGAGAGUGUCAACAGGCAGGUGAAGCUGGCCCACAUCACCAGGCUCCAUGAGAAGGGACUGGAUCUAGGCGAUCUGGGCAAGCUGUAUAAGGGCCGGGGAGGGUCUUUGGGAGAUUCCCAGGAGUUCUCUGAUGCUGGAGUGGACCUGACAGCACCUUCAGACUGUGACGAGCCCCUGGUCUCACAAUCAGAGACCUCUUCGCCCAUAGAGCCCCCACCGAGACCCCCCAAACCCCCUGCCCGCUAUGCCAGCGUGAACUCUGAACUCCACACCUACAUCAACAUCAGCCGUGACAUCACCCCCUCCGUCUCUGUCUGCACCUCUCCAUCCUCAUCCCCCACUUUCUACACCUUCAGGUGUGAGAAGGCCCUCCCUCCUUCCCCACGCUCUGUCCCCCCUCCUCUUCUCUGUCAGCCCAUCCCUUACUUUACUCUCUACAAAUCUUCCCCUCUCCCAUUCUCCCUCCCCUCCUCCACUCCCCCCAUCCCUCCCCCUCGGAGGAAGCACCUAGCCCGUAAGGAGGCUCAGCGUCUCGCCACCCUCCAAGCAGGAUGCGGGAAGACCCCCCUGUCCCUCUCCACUCCCACCUCUCACCUCCCUCCUUUCCCCCCUGCCCCCACCAUUUCCAUCUCCAACUCCACUACCCCCCCCUGCCAUCCCUCCCCCGCCCUCUCUCCCCCCUCCUCCCUCUUUCCAUGCGUUGGAUGA